RNAcentral lists this ribosomal RNA (200 nucleotides) under uncultured eukaryote. RNAcentral describes it as "partial 18S ribosomal RNA". It matches the Rfam family "Eukaryotic small subunit ribosomal RNA", at positions 588 to 799 of the family's 1831-position model. The record is from RNAcentral.
GCUCUGUAAGCGUAUACCAAAGUUGUUGCAGUUAAAACGCUCGUAGUCGGAUUGGCGUGGUACUUCUGAGGUCCUGAUUGGGUUCCGAGGUUAGUCCGCCUUUGUGGAUGAGGGCGUGGUGGUUCUUAACUGGAUUGCUGCGUUUUCGCCACUGUUUACUGUGAAAAAAUUAGAGUGUUCAAGCGAGCGAUUGCCAUGAA